UACGGGGGGGGUAAGCGUUGUUCGGAAUUACUGGGCGUAAAGGGCUCGUAGGCGGCCAACUAAGUCGGACGUGAAAUCCCUCAGCUUAACCGGGGAACUGCGUCUGAUACUGGAUGGCUUGAGUUCGGGAGAGGGAUGCGGAAUUCCAGGUGUAGCGGUGAAAUGCGUAGAUAUCUGGAGGAACACCGGUGGCGAAGGCGGCAUCCUGGACCGAUACUGACGCUGAGGAGCGAAAGCCAGGGGAGCAAACGGG
This 253-nucleotide ribosomal RNA is filed under the name uncultured bacterium. RNAcentral describes it as "partial 16S ribosomal RNA". It matches the Rfam family "Bacterial small subunit ribosomal RNA", at positions 524 to 776 of the family's 1533-position model. The record is from RNAcentral.